RNAcentral lists this ribosomal RNA (792 nucleotides) under uncultured bacterium. RNAcentral describes it as "bacterial SSU rRNA". It matches the Rfam family "Bacterial small subunit ribosomal RNA", at positions 504 to 1293 of the family's 1533-position model. The record is from RNAcentral.
UGUGCCAGCCGCCGCGGUAAUACGAAGGGUGCAAGCGUUGCUCGGAAUUAUUGGGCGUAAAGGGUAGGUAGGUGGUAAUACAAGUCUGGGGUGAAAUCCCUGAGCUCAACUCAGGACGUGCCUUGGAAACUGUAUUACUAGAGUGCUGGAGAGGUCCGCAGAAUUCCCGGUGUAGCGGUGAAAUGCGUAGAGAUCGGGAGGAAUACCAGAGGCGAAGGCGGCGGACUGGACAGCAACUGACACUCAACUACGAAAGCGUGGGUAGCAAACAGGAUUAGAUACCCUGGUAGUCCACGCUGUAAACGAUCGGUACUAGAGUUUGAGGGAGUUGACCCCUUCAGACUCGGAGCUAACGCGAUAAGUACCGCGCCUGGGAAGUACGGUCGCAAGACUAAAACUCAAAGGAAUUGACGGGAGCCCGCACAAGCGGUGGAUUAUGUGGUUUAAUUCGAAGCAACGCGCAGAACCUUACCUAGGUUUGACAUCCUUUGACAACCGUAGAGAUACGGCUUUCGUAGCAAUACGACAAAGAGACAGGUGCUGCAUGGCUGUCGUCAGCUCGUGUGGUGGCAUGUCGGGUUAAGUCCCUCAACGAGCGCAACCCCUGUGUUUAGUUGCCAGCAUUAAGUUGGGGCACUCUAGACAGACUGCCGUGGUUAACACGGAGGAAGGCGGGGAUGACGUCAAGUCCUCAUGGCCCUUACACCUAGGGCGACACACGUAAUACAAUGGUUGAUACAGAGGGAUGCGAAACGGCGACGUGGAGCAAAUCCCAAAAAGUCAAUCUCAGUU